UGCAGGAGUUGCAGGUGUUGUACGGAUCCGAAUAGACCGUCUGCAUUUGCCUUCUUUUGUGGGCCAUCGCAUUUCUUGGCAGCGUGCGUCAACAACUGUUGGGACCAAGCGAAAAGCCUCGCGAGAAGGUGGCUGGCUCCGGCUAGUGUUAUAGCUCGUGGUGGUGAGUUUGGGCCCGACAGAGGAGUCGCGGUACAUGCUCUUUUGGGCUGGCCUCUCUCUUCUCAGUUUGUAUUCGACUAUGACGGACUGCACGCAGUGCGUUUGAACUGGUAUGGGCUGUCGAAGGGAAGAGUGCACAAAUGUACCAAGGUUGUUGGCGGUCAUAUGAUUUCAUACGACCCGUCUUGAAACACGGACCAAGGAGUCUAACAUGUGUGCGAGUCUUAGGGUGAUAGAAACCCGCAGGCAUAAUGAAAGUAAAGGCUGCUUGCAGCUGAAGUGAGAUCUCUUCCUACCGGAGGAGCGCAUCAUUGACCGACCUAUUCUACUCCUAGAAAGGUUUGAGUAAGAGCACAUCUGUUGGGACCCGAAAGAUGGUGAACUAUGCUUGAGUAGGGCGAAGCCAGAGGAAACUCUGGUGGAGGCUCGUAGCGAUUCUGACGUGCAAAUCGAUCGUCAAACUUGAGUAUAGGGGCGAAAGACUAAUCGAACCAUCUAGUAGCUGGUUCCCUCCGAAGUUUCCCUUAGGAUAGCUGGAACUCGGAACAGUUUUAUCAGGUAAAGCGAAUGAUUAGAGGUCUUAGGGUUGAAACAACCUUAACCUAUUCUCAAACUUUAAAUUGGUAAGAAGCCCGACUUGCUUAAUUGAAGUAGGGCACAGAAUGAGAGUUCUUAGUGGGCCAUUUUUGGUAAGCAGAACUGGCGAUGCGGGAUGAACCGAACGUUGAGUUAAGGCGCCUAAAUCGACGCUCAUCAGACCCCACAAAAGGUGUUGGUUGAUCUAGACAGCAGGACGGUGGCCAUGGAAGUCGGAAUCCGCUAAGGAGUGUGUAACAACACACCUGCCGAAUCAACUAGCCCUGAAAAUGGAUGGCGCUCAAGCGUCGUGCCUAUACUCAACCGUCAGAGUAAAUAGCGAAGCUCUGACGAGUAGGAGGGCGUGGGGGUCGUGGCGAAGCCUUUGGCGUGAGCCUGGGUGAAACGGCCUCUAGUGCAGAUCUUGGUGGUAGUAGCAAAUAUUCAAAUGAGAACUUUGAAGACCGAAGUGGAGAAAGGUUCCAUGUGAACAGCAGUUGGACAUGGGUUAGUCGAUCCUAAGAGAUAGGGAAACUCCGUUUCAAAGGCUCAAUCUUGAGCCAUUUAUCGAAAGGGAAUCGGGUUAAUAUUCCCGAACCGGAACGUGGAUAUUCUAGUCCUUUUGGGCUAGAUUUGCGGUAACGCAACUGAACUCGGAGACGUCGGCAGGAGCCCUGGGAAGAGUUCUCUUUUCUUGUUAACGACCUGACACCAUGGAAUCUGAUUGCCAGGAGAUAUGGUUUAAUGGUCGGUAAAGCACCACACUUCUUGUGGUGUCCGGUGCGCUCCUGAAGGCCCUUGAAAAUCCGAGGGAAAGAUUGAUUUUCGCGUCCGUUCGUACUCAUAACCGCAGCAGGUCUCCUAGGUGAGCAGCCUCUGGUCGAUAGAACAAUGUAGGUAAGG
RNAcentral lists this ribosomal RNA (1641 nucleotides) under Sphaerocoryne sp. DM-2017. RNAcentral's name for it is "eukaryotic LSU rRNA". It matches the Rfam family "Eukaryotic large subunit ribosomal RNA", at positions 437 to 1909 of the family's 3401-position model. Lineage: Eukaryota; Metazoa; Cnidaria; Hydrozoa; Anthoathecata; Sphaerocorynidae. The record is from RNAcentral.